UACGUAGGGGGCAAGCGUUGUCCGGAUUUAUUGGGCGUAAAGAGCGUGUAGGCGGCCUGACAGGUCUGCUGUGAAAACUCGAGGCUCAACCUCGAGAUGUCGGCGGAAACCGUCUGGCUAGAGUCCGGAAGAGGAGAGUGGAAUUCCUGGUGUAGCGGUGAAAUGCGCAGAUAUCAGGAGGAAUACCCAUAGCGAAGGCAGCUCGCUGGGACGGUACUGACGCUGAGGCGCGAAAGCGUGGGGAGCGAACAGG
RNAcentral lists this ribosomal RNA (253 nucleotides) under uncultured bacterium. RNAcentral describes it as "partial 16S ribosomal RNA". It matches the Rfam family "Bacterial small subunit ribosomal RNA", at positions 524 to 776 of the family's 1533-position model. The record is from RNAcentral.